CUCUCUCUCUCUCUCUCUCUCUCUCUCUCCCUCUCUGUAAGUGUGUGUUGGUACUAGGGAUUGAACCCAAGCCUUCACAAUCAGUUACAUCUUCAACCUUUUAAAAAAUUUAUUUUAUCUUGAGAAAGGGUCUUGGUUAGUUGGUAGAGAAACUUAGCAAUUUAAUGAGGACCUGUUUCAAGAGAAAAAAAAAGGUUGGGGACAUGGCUCAGAGGUAGAGUGGCCCUGGGUUUGAUUCCCAGUAGCUCCCCGCAAAACACUGCUAUUUUAAGAACCCACAGACAUGAAGUCAGACAUUCAGGCAUUUUUAUGCAGUAGGAUUAUAUAAUUAAGAAAAAUAAAAUGUAUGCAUAAAAGCAGAGCGUGGGGGGGCGGGGAUUUAGCUCAGAGGUUUCGCUGCCUGCUGCGCAAGUGCAAGGACCCGAGUUCGAUCCCCGGUACCAAAAAAAAAGAAAAAGAAAAGCAGAGUGUGGACUAAAAAUGAAGUACUAAGUUGUAGAGGUGGGCUAUGGUGUACUCUAGCAUUACUAGCUUGCUGUGCUUAGGGUAUACAGGCUGAUGUAUUGAUACCAAACCUCACCAUUGUUCUUGUUUCCAUAGUAUCCACAGCUGUUUACAGGAAUUCUUUCCCCCUGGAAAGGUCUCCUGCUUUAUGGCCCUCCAGAGUGGUUUUUAAGCCUGCAGAUCAUCCAGCCCCAGGAUCCCAGGUUGCCAUACAUGUCCUGCUGGCUCAAAAUAUCUGCCUGGUGACUGCCUCUUCUGGAGCCAGAGGCUGCCGUGGGACAGGGCUUGCCCCCUGAGCCAUUGCAGUGGGCUGAGUCUGUGUGCAACUCCCUCAUUGUGGUAUGUGAGGCCAGAGAACCACCACUUCUCUGUCCUCAGCUUAUGGCUCAGCAUGUCCCGCGUUUAAAUGUGUCACAUAGGUUAUUUCUAAGAUUAAGUGUCCCCAGCAGGAAGAAACACUUCUUAGACUGUGAUAAGCCUUCUGUUUAUGCUUUCAAAAGGCCAAGUAGGGGUUUUUGUUUUUGGCUUGGUUUUAAGACUGUCUAUUUUUCCCUCCAGUGAUGAAUGUCAUCAUAUGGUAUACCUAACAUGUACCAAUAAAC
Molecule: long non-coding RNA, 1106 nt
Filed under: Heterocephalus glaber (naked mole-rat)
Lineage: Eukaryota; Metazoa; Chordata; Mammalia; Rodentia; Bathyergidae
Description: lncRNA (ENSHGLG00000037034.1)
Source: RNAcentral